UGUCGCCUUUUCUUCAGCCCCGAGCAGCCGUGCCGCCAGAGCUCGCGAACCUUGCCGCCACCUCGACUCCUCCGUGUCCGGUGCGCCGCUGGAGCAUCUGUCGCGUGCCGGCGAGCUCACCAGCGAGCAGCAGCCGCCCUCCUGCCUUGCCUUUUUCCCGUCCUUCCCUACUCCUCUCUCACCUCUCUCUGCCUUGCCUCCACAGGGACAUCGGGACGUCGCCGGCAUGCGAAACGAAGCCGCCCCAACUGGAUCCACGCCCUCCACCAUCGCCCGCUCUCCCACCAUUCUUCCUCACCUCGAAUUGGUCGCACCGGUAGCCGUCGUUGCCAGAUCCUACCUUGGUCGCCCGCUGGAAGAUCCAGCACCCUAUGCAUUGCCACAUCGCGCCUCUCACCGUCGAGGGCGGCAGGAACGACGGAGUCGUGCAUGUGUCGGCUCCUAUGUGGUGCGUGCGGAGCCACUAGCUCGCGGAACAGCUGCAGGCCUGGAGCACCCCUACCUCGAGCGGCACUCAUGCAUGGUUGGUGGUCGAGACAUCAUAGGAGCUUCAGCCGGUGGCGUUGAUCCAAAAUUACUCCUUCCAGUACAACGUUCCCCAAUGCAAAGUGUCCCUUUAUUUCCCCUGCCCAGCUCCAAUCUUGAUCCUUCCAUGUUUGAUGUAAUGUGUACAGAGAAACAAGGCCGCCGAGCCAAAUUUGCUGAACCAGGCUACCAAGUUUGAGGUAAAAAAACUCAGCAGGGAAGUAUCUAUCCUGAAUUUUCUGCACUACAUAAAUUUACCCAUAGAAUAUAUCUCUAAUAGUACCCUGUCCAAAAUGUUAGUGCUAUUUCUGCAAUUUUGCAAGCCGAAUUUGUGCCAAGUGCAUUGCUUAAUAUAUCUCUAAUAGUAUAUGUCCAUUGCUAUUUCCGAGAUCUUCCAUCAAUUUCUAUUACAACAGAAAAAUGAUCCCUGUCAACAUAUAUAGUAUGCACUGGGAAAUCAUGAUUCAUGGGCAGCUGAUAUAUACAAUGGUUGAUAACAAUUAAUUUAGGGUCUCCAUUCUACUAUUUUUUUACAUACUCAACAAAUUUGUGACAUCUUAUCUGGUAGAGAAAACAGUCCGAGAUAUUCUAUUCUUACCUACACAUAAUUCCGUAUUGAUGACUUAGCAUUCAACAUGAUUCAGUUUCUAGCUUGUAUACAUUAGUAUUAUUAUGAGCCACCUAAAAAGUUUUUGGGCUUUUAGUUUCAGUUAUAGUCAUGGACUGGGCACAAUUCACAGAAUAAGAAAAUGUAUCAAGCAUUAAUUUUAUAUGCGUGAAGCAUUUUACAAUGAAACGUUAUUCAGAUCUCUCUUUCAGAUCUCUCUUACAGAUCUCUCUUACAUGAAAAUUCUAAACAUUAUUCAGUACUGAGGACCAAAUUUAGAAAAUUCUAAACGAGUGGUGAGUUCAAUCAGGUGAAAAAUUGUAGGUCAAACAUGAAAGGAUGCACAUUCGUUUUUGAAGUUGAAAAUAACGUUUCAUGAAGCAAACUUGAGAUAUUCUGCUAAUGAUAGGAAGCGUGGUUUAAAACUGCUCUGGCUGGAGUUGUAUGCUUUGUGACUGAAGACUAGAGCUUGGUGUCAUGGUGACUUGCAGCCACUCCUGAUGGUCCUACCACCCAGCUUUUACUCUCUCGAAUUUCCUUAUUUUCAUAUUAACACUGCUAUUGGGGUCAAUCUAUGUUGUUUACUGCUCUAAUCAAGCUAUUGCUAGGAUUCCAUGUUUCCUACAUUGUAUUAUGCUGAUCAUUAGUAAUUCAACCUACAUUGUAUUAUACUGGUCAUUAGUGGAAUGUUGAUUCUGUGAUAAUCUUAAUACAUCCAUGGCUGUUGAGGAAAUAGGGAAAAUGUAUAAACUGGUGAAAUAUCACACAUUAACCUCCUCUUAGAUCUGAACUAAGAUCAUAUGGGUUCGGCCGUGCAUGUCCAUACAUAGUGCAUCGGGUUAAUGUGCCUGAAGCGUAAGGACUCAUGACAUAUUAACGAAGUGCACAUGUUGAGUUAAAAAGUGUACAUUUUUUUUUUCUAUUACGGAACAUUUGACGAUGUUUUGUUUUGAUCUUAAUCAAAAUGGUACAGAAGCAAGUCAAGGUUUAGUUACUGUAAUUUUACUUACUGUAAUUUCCACUCUGUUCUCUACAAGAAAAAUAAAUUAUGGAUAAAUUGCAGUGAUAAGCUAUCAAAAAGAGACGUACAUUUACUUAUAUUGCUCAAUAUUCAAUUGAUCGAUUAGUUUUUAGUUACAAAAGUGUGAUGUUUUAAAACUGAAAAACGAAAUAUUGGUUUAGUACCUAAUUACAAAACACAACUAAGCAUGGAAAUAAGUAGCUAAUUGUUUUGGCCUCACCUACUUAUGUAAUAUCUGUUCCCGUAUGCACAUUUCUUUCUAUUUUCCAGUUAUGUGACAUGAUUGUCUGAAGUUUAAUGCAACCCUCGAGAUGUUUCUUGACUAAAUGUCUAAAUUCAGUGCAACUAGGAUUUUCUCUAUGAGGUUGCAUCAGUAUAUUAUACUGGGCUUUUGAUUCAAAUACGAAUUUCUCCAACUAUCUUUUGUGCUCGGUGUAGUCUCUUCCUCGCGUUGGGGAAUUUAGAUGGUUAUCAGAAUCAAUUGGGGCAUGCUCUCAACAACAUCACUAUUCACAUGGUUGAGGUGGCAGAGCAGCUAAGCCAGACGGUGACCUCGCCCUGGAGAUGGAGGCGAGCCGCAGAGGGCCUUGCUACGGCAUUGUGAAGGAAAUCAAUAAUUACUUAUUUCCAGUUUGUUGUUUUAUAAUCGGUAGCACCUGUAUUUACUCAAUAAACGAGAAAGUCCGAUGCAUUGCUCAUGAUCCCCUUUUGUGGGGUUGUAAUCUUGAUGAAGAAAGAAAUGUAUAUUUGCGUUGUAAAAUGUUUCUUUGCCCUUUGGUGGUCUGGCCAUGCAAAACACUCAAUUAUUAAUGA
This is a non-coding RNA of Triticum urartu, 2966 nucleotides long. NCBI's taxonomy places the organism in Eukaryota, Viridiplantae, Streptophyta, Magnoliopsida, Poales, Poaceae. The record is from RefSeq and is a predicted model, not a curated record.